Molecule: unclassified non-coding RNA, 159 nt
Filed under: uncultured Penicillium
Lineage: Eukaryota; Fungi; Ascomycota; Eurotiomycetes; Eurotiales; Aspergillaceae
Description: sequence contains ITS2
Source: RNAcentral
CUGCCCUCAAGCACGGCUUGUGUGUUGGGCCCUCGUCCCUUUCGGGGGACGGGCCCGAAAGGCAGCGGCGGCACCGGUCCGAUCCUCGAACGUAUGGGGCUUUGUCACUCGUUCUUGUAGGAUUGGCCGGCGCUUGCCGACACCAUCAAUCUUUUUCCA